This 325-nucleotide small nuclear RNA is filed under the name Sorex araneus (European shrew). RNAcentral describes it as "7SK RNA (ENSSARG00000019312.1)". It matches the Rfam family "7SK RNA". Rfam says of the family: 7SK was discovered as an abundant small nuclear RNA in the mid-70s but a possible function has only recently been suggested. Two independent studies have found that 7SK RNA binds the CDK9/cyclin T complex (known as elongation factor P-TEFb). The record is from RNAcentral. Lineage: Eukaryota; Metazoa; Chordata; Mammalia; Eulipotyphla; Soricidae.
GGAUGUGAGCCCUAUCUGGCAAUGACAUCUGUCACUCCACUGAUAAUGGAUACACUGGGGUGCCAGCAUGGAUACCGCGUACACUGGAUUUGACUCAUCUCACUGGCUGGGUAGGAGUCUUCUUCCUCCCUCAUGGUUCCACGUGCAUCCUGCCCCUCUUGAAGCUGUGCUCUACAGUAGAGACAGAAUAGUUCAUUCUUCAUUGAGUGUGUGUGCCCCUGCUAGAAACUCCCAACAAACUCCAAAAUGCAAUUUAGCAGAUGGGAAGGCAUCAGUAAUUUAGACACAAAACUCUCGUCUUUGUGGAGUUUACAUUCUCCCACAG